RNAcentral lists this ribosomal RNA (497 nucleotides) under uncultured bacterium. RNAcentral describes it as "partial 16S ribosomal RNA". It matches the Rfam family "Bacterial small subunit ribosomal RNA", at positions 28 to 507 of the family's 1533-position model. The record is from RNAcentral.
GAUGAACGCUGGCGGCGUGCCUAAUACAUGCAAGUCGAGCGAACAGACGAGGAGCUUGCUCCUCUGACGUUAGCGGCGGACGGGUGAGUAACACGUGGAUAACCUACCUAUAAGACUGGGAUAACUUCGGGAAACCGGAGCUAAUACCGGAUCAUAUAUUGAACCGCAUGGUUCAAUAGUGAAAGACGGUUUUGCUGUCACUUAUAGAUGGUUCCGGGCCGCAUUAGCUAGUUGGUAAGGUAACGGCUUACCAAGGCAACGAUGCGUAGCCGACCUGAGAGGGUGAUCGGCCACACUGGAACUGAGACACGGUCCAGACUCCUACGGGAGGCAGCAGUAGGGAAUCUUCCGCAAUGGGCGAAAGCCUGACGGAGCAACGCCGCGUGAGUGAUGAAGGUCUUCGGAUCGUAAAACUCUGUUAUUAGGGAAGAACAAAUGUGUAAGUAACUAUGCACGUCUUGACGGUACCUAAUCAGAAAGCCACGGCUAACUACGUG